AGCACACCUACUUUCAGGAAAAAGAAUUGAGCAAAGACCAGCAAAUAUGUGGGUACCAGGAUCAUCUAUGACCGGAAAUUCCUGAUGGAGUGUCGGAACUCACCUGUGACCAAAACACCCCCGAGGGAUCUGCCCACCAUUCCCGGGGUCACCAGCCCUUCCAGUGAUGAGCCCCCCAUGGAAGCCAGCCAGAGCCACCUGCGCAAUAGCCCAGAAGAUAAGCGGGCGGGCGGUGAAGAGUCACAGUUUGAGAUGGACAUUUAAAGCACCAGCCAUCACAUGGAGCACUACCAAGGGGCCCCUCAGGGCCUUCCUGGGAGGAGUCCCACCAGCCAGGCCUUAUGAAAGUGAUCAUACUGGGCAGGCGUCGGCAUGGGGUCGGCCACCCCAGCCCUUUCUCCCUCACUCAGGGCACCUGCCCCCUCCUCUUCGUGAACACCAGCAGAUACCUCCUUGUGCCUCCACUGAUGCAGGAGCUGCCACCCCAAGGGGAGUGACCCCUGCCAGCACACCCUGCAGCCAAGGGCCAGGAAGCGGACAAGAACGAACCCUUCCUUCCGAAUGAUCAGCAAUUCCAGCCCCUCGCUGCUGGGGGCGCAACCACCCCUUCCUUAGGUUGAUGUGCCUGGGAAAGCUCCCUCCCCCUCCUUCCCCAAGAGAGGAAAUAAAAGCCACCUUCGCCCUAGGGCCAAGA
This 694-nucleotide small RNA is filed under the name Pongo abelii (Sumatran orangutan). RNAcentral describes it as "processed transcript". The record is from RNAcentral. Lineage: Eukaryota; Metazoa; Chordata; Mammalia; Primates; Hominidae.